RNAcentral lists this ribosomal RNA (268 nucleotides) under uncultured bacterium. Its description in RNAcentral is "partial 16S ribosomal RNA". It matches the Rfam family "Bacterial small subunit ribosomal RNA", at positions 88 to 354 of the family's 1533-position model. The record is from RNAcentral.
CCGGCGACCGGCGCACGGUGAGUAACACGUAUGCAACCUGGCCGUGACAGAUGGAUAACCGGGAGAAAUCCCGCCUAAUACAACAUAAUGCCGGGAGGGACAUCCCCUGCCGGUCAAAGGGGGCGACCCCGGUCAUGGAUGGGCAUGCGGCGCAUUAGGUAGUUGGUGGGGCAACGGCCCACCAAGCCGACGAUGCGUAGGGGUUCUGAGAGGAAGGUCCCCCACAUUGGAACUGAGACACGGUCCAAACUCCUACGGGAGGCAGCAG